UACGUAGGGUGCAAGCGUUAAUCGGAAUUACUGGGCGUAAAGCGUGCGUAGACGGUUACAUAAGUCGGGUGUGAAAGCCCCGGACUCAACCUGGGAAUUGCAUUCGAGACUGCGUAGCUAGGGUGCGGAAGAGGGAAGCGGAAUUUCCGGUGUAGCGGUGAAAUGCGUAGAUAUCGGAAGGAACACCAGUGGCGAAAGCGGCUUCCUGGUCCAGCACCGACGUUCAGGCACGAAAGCGUGGGGAGCAAACAGG
Molecule: ribosomal RNA, 253 nt
Filed under: uncultured bacterium
Lineage: Bacteria
Description: partial 16S ribosomal RNA
Rfam family: Bacterial small subunit ribosomal RNA
Source: RNAcentral